RNAcentral lists this ribosomal RNA (467 nucleotides) under uncultured bacterium. RNAcentral's name for it is "partial 16S ribosomal RNA". It matches the Rfam family "Bacterial small subunit ribosomal RNA", at positions 28 to 507 of the family's 1533-position model. The record is from RNAcentral.
GGUGAACGCUGGCGGCGUGCCUAAGACAUGCAAGUCGAGCGGGGCAGGUUUAUACCUGUUCAGCGGCGGACGGGUGAGUAACGCGUGGGUGACCUACCCUGAAGAGGCUGACAACCUGGGGAAACCCAGGCUAAUCCGCCAUGUUGUCCUAUCCUGUGGGGAAGGACUAAAGGGGCUACCCGCUUCCGGAUUUGCCCGCGUCCCAUCAGCUAGUUGGUGGGGUAUAGGUCCACCAAGGCGACGACGGGUAGCCGGUCUGCGAGGAUGGCCGGCCACACGGGCACUGAGCCACGGGGCCAACUCCUACGGGAGGCAGCAGUUAGGAAUCUGCAGCAAUGGACGGAAGUCUGCCGGAGCGACGCCGCUUGGAGGAGGAAGCACUUCGGGGUGUAAACUCCUGAACUGGGGACGAAAGCCCUGUGUAGGGGGAUGACGGUACCCAGGUAAUAGCGCCGGCCAACUCCGUG